CAUUACCGAGAUUAGGGUCCCUUUAUGGGAUCCGAUCCUCCCACCCUUUGUGUAUAUUACCUCUGUUGCUUCGGUGGCCCCCGCGGUUUUACGGUGCUGCUAGUCACGCCGAGCCCGGUCCGCCAGAGGCCAAUUCAAUUCUGACUUUUAUCAGUGAUAGUCUGAGCAUACUUUGAAAAACAAAUCAAAACUUUCAACAACGGAUCUCUUGGUUCUGGCAUCGAUGAAGAACGCAGCGAAAUGCGAUAAGUAAUGUGAAUUGCAGAAUUCAGUGAAUCAUCGAAUCUUUGAACGCACAUUGCGCCCUCUGGUAUUCCGGGGGGCAUGCCUGUUCGAGCGUCAUUACACCUCUCAAGCUCAGCUUGGUAUUGGGCCUUCGUCCCUUGUGGACGGGUCUGAAAAUCAGUGGCAGUGCAGCCGGUACUCAAGCGUAGUAAUAUUACCUCCCGCUUUGGAGUCACCGGGUGGACCCGCCAGACAACCCUAUUAUAUUUUCAAUGGUUGACCUCGGAUCAGGUAGGGAUACCCGCUGAACUUAAGCAUAUCAA
This 548-nucleotide ribosomal RNA is filed under the name Aspicilia coronata. RNAcentral describes it as "eukaryotic LSU rRNA". The stretch from base 189 to 342 matches the Rfam family "5.8S ribosomal RNA". Lineage: Eukaryota; Fungi; Ascomycota; Lecanoromycetes; Pertusariales; Megasporaceae. The record is from RNAcentral.